This is a long non-coding RNA of Neomonachus schauinslandi (Hawaiian monk seal), 668 nucleotides long. RefSeq lists it as uncharacterized. The transcript has 4 exons. The record is from RefSeq and is a predicted model, not a curated record. Lineage: Eukaryota; Metazoa; Chordata; Mammalia; Carnivora; Phocidae.
GUUGCGGCUCUGCUGAUGAUUUCUGGGAAGUGCUGGAAAUAUGGCCGUAGAAAAAGAAUGGCGUCCAUUUACAUAAUGCUUUGUUUGCAUUUUGCAAGUUUUUUUUGGUUAAACCUGCAGAAACCCCACCUCCUAGUGUCGUUUUAGUCGUGGCAGUUUUGUCAGACAUUUAAGACGAUGGUGUGCCGAGUAGUGCUGUGGGGGGGGUUCUUCCGAUUUUCCCCACGCCGUUUAAGCCCCGCUUCUGCCUUUUCCCCCGUUUCCCCCUUGGUGCAGACGCCGCGCCCCGCUCCUCGGGGGCGGCCCCUCUCGAGCCCCGCCAUCUUGGAAGGCCUUUCUUGCCGGUUCGCCACCGCACGUUCCUCUUACUAAAGAAAGGUCGCUUGCGUGCCUCGUACGAAUUCACUUAGGCCCAGAGAGAUGAAGUGACUAAUUCAAGGUCACACUAUGGCGGAUGGAAUCCGGACCUUCUGAUUUCCUUAUUGACCUGCAGUAUCUUGUGGAUAUAUGAGUGAAUUCCACACCACCCAUUUUACAGAUGAAGCUACUGAGAUAUGGAACAAUUGACUAAACAGUCACUGCCCCACCCCUGGAGCCUCCUACAUGACUCUUCUCCCAUUUGAAUGACUGCAGAUAGGCUCCACACCCAGCAUGGGACUUGAACUCAC